CAUGUCUAGUACAAGCCGAAAUAAGGUGAAACCGCGAAUGGCUCAUUAAAUCACAACUAAUCUACUGGAAUAUAACAAGUUACUUGGAUACCUGAGGUAAUUCUUCAGCUAAUACAUGCACACAAGCCUCGAACUUACGUGAGAGGCGCUUUUAUUAGAUCAAAACCAGUCAGCUUCGGCUGUCCCUUUGGUGACUCUAAAUAACUUUGGGCUGAUCGCAUGGCCUCGAGCCGGCGACAUUUCCUUCGAAGGUGUGCCCUAUCAACUGUCGACUGUGGCAUAGACGCCCACAGUGGUUUUGACGGGUAACGGGGAAUCAGGGUUCGAUUCCGGAGAGGGAGCCUUAAAAACGGCUACCACAUCUAAGGAAGGCAGCAGGCACGCAAAUUACCCAAUGAACGCAGUUCGAGGUAGUGACGAAAAAUAACGAUACUGGACUCAUCCGAGGCCCAGUAAUCGGAAUGAGUACACUUUAAAACCGUCCCCGAGGAUCUAUGGGAGGGCAAGUCUGGUGCCAGCAGCCGCGGUAAUUCCAGCUCCAAUAGCGUAUAUUAAAGUUGUUGUGGUUAAAAAGCUCGUAGUUGGAUCUCGGCGGGUAGAGGGCGGUAUGCUUGCUUGCAUUACUACCCUAUUACCCGUAGUUUUGCUAGAGGUUUCAGGGUGCUCUUAAUCGAGUGUCCUGGGAUGCUAGCAGGUUUACUUUGAAAAAUUAGAGUGCUCAAGCAGGCUACUACGCUGGAUAUUCGUGCAUGGAAUAUAGAAUAGGAAAUCGUUCUAUUUUGUUGGUUUUCGGAAUCGAUUAAUGAUUAAUAGGGACAGUCGGGGGCAUUUGUAUCAACGACAGAGGUGAAUUCUUGGACCGUUUGAAGACAACUACUGCGAAGCAUUGCCAAGAUGUUUCAUUAUCAGAACAAAGUU
RNAcentral lists this ribosomal RNA (918 nucleotides) under Heterorhabdus norvegicus. RNAcentral's name for it is "SSU rRNA". It matches the Rfam family "Eukaryotic small subunit ribosomal RNA", at positions 54 to 991 of the family's 1831-position model. Lineage: Eukaryota; Metazoa; Arthropoda; Copepoda; Calanoida; Heterorhabdidae. The record is from RNAcentral.